GACGAACGCUGGCGGCGUGCUUAACACAUGCAAGUCGAACGGAAAGGCCCUGCUUUUGUGGGGUGCUCGAGUGGCGAACGGGUGAGUAACACGUGAGUAACCUGCCCUUGACUUUGGGAUAACUUCAGGAAACUGGGGCUAAUACCGGAUAGGAGCUCCUGCUGCAUGGUGGGGGUUGGAAAGUUUCGGCGGUUGGGGAUGGACUCGCGGCUUAUCAGCUUGUUGGUGGGGUAGUGGCUUACCAAGGCUUUGACGGGUAGCCGGCCUGAGAGGGUGACCGGCACCAUUGGGACUGGGAUACGGCCCAGACUCCUACGGGGGGCAGCAGUGGGGAUUAUUGCACAAGGGGCGGAAGCCGGAUGCAGCAACGCCGGGUGCGGGAUGACGGCCUUCGGGUUGUAACCCGCUUUCGCCUGUGACGAAGCGUGAGGGCGGUAAAUGGGUAAAGAAGCACGGGCUAACUACGG
This 467-nucleotide ribosomal RNA is filed under the name uncultured bacterium. RNAcentral's name for it is "partial 16S ribosomal RNA". It matches the Rfam family "Bacterial small subunit ribosomal RNA", at positions 28 to 506 of the family's 1533-position model. The record is from RNAcentral.